AAGAUACUAGUGAAAACAUAACAUUUCCCUGUCGAGGCAAAAUUGUGGGUGGAAAUCCCACGUAUCUUA
This 69-nucleotide transfer RNA is filed under the name Chilomycterus reticulatus (spotfin burrfish). RNAcentral's name for it is "tRNA-Asp". It matches the Rfam family "tRNA". Rfam says of the family: Transfer RNA (tRNA) molecules are approximately 80 nucleotides in length. Their secondary structure includes four short double-helical elements and three loops (D, anti-codon, and T loops). Further hydrogen bonds mediate the characteristic L-shaped molecular structure. tRNAs have two regions of fundamental functional importance: the anti-codon, which is responsible for specific mRNA codon recognition, and the 3' end, to which the tRNAs corresponding amino acid is attached (by aminoacyl-tRNA synthetases). tRNAs cope with the degeneracy of the genetic code in two manners: having more than one tRNA (with a specific anti-codon) for a particular amino acid; and 'wobble' base-pairing, i.e. permitting non-standard base-pairing at the 3rd anti-codon position. Lineage: Eukaryota; Metazoa; Chordata; Actinopteri; Tetraodontiformes; Diodontidae. RNAcentral also lists the same sequence under 1 other name. The record is from RNAcentral.